ACCAAAAUUAGGAUAGAGAUAAAAGAAACAGGAGGUGGCAAGUUGAACCCACAAAACUAAGCAAGAGGUGGCUGUAGAAGAGAAGAAGGAUUGUGACUAAGCAGGCAAUUAAAUUAGGAAUUUUUCAUAAAAGAGGAUGUCGGUUAAUAAGCAAUGACUCAUCAGUCAUAUAAGCAGGAGGCGGAGAGCUGGAGAUAUGGGCACUUCAAACAAAGCAGCAGGUGGCGAGUUGUAUGAUUGACGAAGCAAAGAAGAGCAAUACGACAAACAGGAGACGAAGGAUUGGAAAGAAUAAACAUGGGAAAGAGAUUGGUUUCUUAUUGGCUUAAAAUAGUCGGUGACUUGUAGUUGGAGAUUGCACAGCUCGAUCUAGAUUCUAGGGAUUCAAUAUACAUGCAGAUGGAUAACUUUGAUUAAACACUUCACAAAUCGAUUUAGGGAUUCAUAAAUCGAUGGUGAAAUAAAACCUAGGGCUUCAAAUUAAUCAACUU
This 491-nucleotide long non-coding RNA is filed under the name Lactuca sativa (garden lettuce). RNAcentral describes it as "long non-coding RNA (LSAT_LNC005519)". The record is from RNAcentral. Lineage: Eukaryota; Viridiplantae; Streptophyta; Magnoliopsida; Asterales; Asteraceae.